Molecule: long non-coding RNA, 855 nt
Organism: Xenopus laevis (African clawed frog)
Lineage: Eukaryota; Metazoa; Chordata; Amphibia; Anura; Pipidae
Exons: 10
Source: RefSeq, a predicted model, not a curated record
AAUCAGCAGGUGGCGCUCUUACCCCAGUACUGCAGGCUAAAAUGUGUCACGUGGUGUUGAAAAAAGUUUGAGUACCGAAGUCGAAAGUGUGCGGCUGAGAAGAGGUCGGGCAGGAUCUCGAUUAUAGUAUUGCGUCUAAUUUCUGGUUAAUUCCUGCACUACAGGACUCAAAAAACAAAAGUCUUCCAGUGAAGAAGAGCUGUGGCGCUGGACAUGAGUAGCAGCUGUACACUGGAUAAGAGCUGCAGUGAGAAGGCGACACUGAAAUAUGCUAAUGGACAAGACCUGUGGCACUGGAGGUGAGAAACAGGACUGAAAAAAACAGGCAUUUACAUAUGGCGUUAUGGAUCAUAUGAAAUGUAAGUCUUCCAGUGAAGAAGAGCUGUGGCGCUGGACAUGAGUAGCAGCUGUACUCUGGAGAAGAGCUGCAGCGGGGAGGUGAAACUGCUUGUCUGGAUGGCUACCACUUCAGUUCAGCUGGAAGGUGGAAAGGGUCGUAUUCUCUAAGCCUGCUGCAAUCAACUUCCAUCAAUCUGAAUUUCCUUUGCGAGAUCUCAGAGGGACAAAUAUUUACUGUACUUUGAAUGAAUAGAAGAAUCAUCUUCACAUUUAUGAACUGAUAAUGUAUUGUGCAAAUUAACCCAUUGCAUGUUGGCUCAGUUGAUCUCCAUUGUACCAUGAAAAAGUAGAGCCUUUGACACAAACUUCUUUUAUGCCCACACCAUAAAUUGUGUUGUCUGGUACGGAAAGGGUAAAUAAUGAUUGGUAUUGCACACCACUAAUGAAACACACAUGAAUAGGUGUUUGCUGUGGGAUAUUUUUUAUACUAAAGUAAUAAAUGCAAAUACUACCCUG